AACAACAUGUAGAUAUAUGUUGCUUCUCCUGCUCAAUGGAAUCUAAAUAGCCGCAGUACUUUGACUGUGCAAAGGUAGCAUAAUCAGUUGGCCCAUAAUUGGGGUCUUGUAUGAAUGGAUGCAUGGAUAAGAUCUGUCUAUAUUGUAUAUGUUAGAAAUUUAUAAGUAAGUGAAAAUGCUUACAUCAUAUGAAAGACGAGAAGACCCUAGAAAUUUUUUACACUAUGUUAAUUUAACUAUUUUGUUGGGGCGACAGAAUAACAAAUAACUUGUUUUAUGCGUGUAAGAAUUUUUUAAGAUGUAAAACAAAAUUACUCUAGGGAUAACAGCAUAAUUUUUAAUAGUUUGUGACCUCGAUGUUGGACUAGGGAGAGUAGUGCUCAGAAGGUGCUACUUCAGGUUCUGUUCGAACAACCGCACCCUACAUG
RNAcentral lists this ribosomal RNA (428 nucleotides) under Epiphragmophora sp. 4 MS-2014. RNAcentral describes it as "partial 16S ribosomal RNA". It matches the Rfam family "Bacterial large subunit ribosomal RNA", at positions 1828 to 2602 of the family's 2925-position model. The record is from RNAcentral. Lineage: Eukaryota; Metazoa; Mollusca; Gastropoda; Stylommatophora; Epiphragmophoridae.